RNAcentral lists this ribosomal RNA (476 nucleotides) under uncultured organism. RNAcentral describes it as "partial 16S ribosomal RNA". It matches the Rfam family "Bacterial small subunit ribosomal RNA", at positions 329 to 797 of the family's 1533-position model. The record is from RNAcentral.
ACGUACACUCCUACGGGAGGCAGCAGUGGGGAAUUUUGGACAAUGGGCGAAAGCCUGAUCCAGCCAUGCCGCGUGCAGGAUGAAGGCCUUCGGGUUGUAAACUGCUUUUGUACGGAACGAAACGGCCUUUUCUAAUAAAGAGGGCUAAUGACGGUACCGUAAGAAUAAGCACCGGCUAACUACGUGCCAGCAGCCGCGGUAAUACGUAGGGUGCAAGCGUUAAUCGGAAUUACUGGGCGUAAAGCGUGCGCAGGCGGUUAUGUAAGACAGUUGUGAAAUUCCCGGGCUCAACCUGGGAACUGCAUCUGUGACUGCAUAGCUAGAGUACGGUAGAGGGGGAUGGAAUUCCGCGUGGAGCAGUGAAAUGCGUAGAUAUGCGGAGGAACACCGAUGGCGAAGGCAAUCCCCUGGACCUGUACUGGCGCUCAUGCACGAAAGCGUGGGGAGCAAACAGGAUUAGAAACCCCUGUAGUCCC